This 91-nucleotide transfer RNA is filed under the name Megalodesulfovibrio gigas DSM 1382 = ATCC 19364. RNAcentral's name for it is "Desulfovibrio gigas DSM 1382 = ATCC 19364 tRNA". It matches the Rfam family "tRNA". Rfam says of the family: Transfer RNA (tRNA) molecules are approximately 80 nucleotides in length. Their secondary structure includes four short double-helical elements and three loops (D, anti-codon, and T loops). The record is from Rfam by way of RNAcentral. Lineage: Bacteria; Pseudomonadati; Thermodesulfobacteriota; Desulfovibrionia; Desulfovibrionales; Desulfovibrionaceae.
GGAGAGGUACCGAAGUGGCCGUAACGGGCUCGACUCGAAAUCGAGUUGGGGGCUAAUCACCUCCACGUGGGUUCGAAUCCCACCCUCUCCG